CCCUUAGAUGUUCUGGGCCGCACGCGCGCUACAAUGGUCUUCGCAAACGGAUGCAUUCUCGAAGGAGAAUGCCAAUCUUGGAAUCUAUGCCUUGGUCGGGACAGUUGCUUGCAAUUUUUCGACUCGAACCAGGAAUUCCUUGUAAUCGUGAUUCAUCACAUCACGAUGAAUACGUCCCUGCCCUUUGUACACACCGCCCGUCGCACCUACCGAUUGAAUGGUCCGGUGAAGCCUCCGGAUUGGCGCGCACCUCGGUGCCGCCGAGAAGUUGGCUAAACCUUACCAUUUAGAGGAAGGUGAAGUCGUAACA
This 310-nucleotide ribosomal RNA is filed under the name uncultured eukaryote. RNAcentral's name for it is "partial 18S ribosomal RNA". It matches the Rfam family "Eukaryotic small subunit ribosomal RNA", at positions 1470 to 1796 of the family's 1831-position model. The record is from RNAcentral.